This 3130-nucleotide long non-coding RNA is filed under the name Homo sapiens (human). RNAcentral's name for it is "HSALNT0057804". Lineage: Eukaryota; Metazoa; Chordata; Mammalia; Primates; Hominidae. The record is from RNAcentral.
UGGUGAGAGCAAGAUUUGAAUUCAUUUAACCCGUUUGCUUCACAGUAUUCUCCAUUCCUCUACUUUUUCGGAGUAAGAAUUUAAGAGAUCCUCUUUUUAAUAAAAUAGAUUUUUACAAAAUGUAAAGUUCUUCUCUCACUUACCAACUUUAAAAAUCUCUAAGGAGGACUUUAGAAACUGAAGAUCAAUUCCUGAUACCUCCAUGUGAAUAGCUUUGUAACUCAAUGUGGUUUUUCGUUUUCUUGUUUUUUUUUUUUCCUGAAAACAAAAUUCAUGUCUUGAAAAGGAACACCAAAAUUCCAACUCCACAACCUUUGGGAAGUCCCCCAUGAGCUGCUUGUUCACGGAUUAGCACCUAGCUGCAGCUGAGAGAGAUUCUCACAUGCAGGAGAAUCAGACUUGUGUCCUGGACUUAGCAAAGCAUGAUCACACUCUUUGUCCUUAUCUACCCAGCCACAGCUUCCAGUGCAAGUGUCCUUGUGCCCUGGUGCCUGAUAUCCAGCUCCGGCAGCCUAGAAAAUCAGUUAGGCUUUUCAGUCACAGCACCCUCUGUGACAAACGUGUGGAGCACCGCACGACUUCUUCAACCAGCUGGUUUUUCUGGCAUUCGAAUAAAAGUAAAAAUAGAAAACAAAGAGGGAGAAGAAAAGUGACAAGCUGAAACCUGCGAAGAGAAAGAGGACAAGAAAUGAACAAGUUGAUCUGGUCUUGAGGGAGGAGGAGGCACAGGAACACAGUAAAGGAACCUAUCUGAGGAGCUGCAGACAUGAACCAACAAAGCCAGAAGAGCCUGAAGCAAUACUGCAAGUGGGUGCUUUGGUACUGCUUUGAAGCAUCUUUCCAGACUCUGCAGUAGCCAAGGCCUGUGACUCCAGUCCCUGAGAAAGUACCAUCAGGAGCAAUACACAAAUUGCUUACCAAUAUGGAAAUCACCAUAAAGUAAUCAACUGCAACACAUUCUUUGACAUGAGAAGGGAAUUAGAAGAAAGGAUUGCUUCAAAGAGUUUGGUAGCACACUUUAUAUAAACCCCCCUUUUUUUAAUUAACAAAAUGGUUUGGAGUCAUUUUUCUACCACUAGGUAAUUAUGUGAGUGUGAUCUAUAAUCUUCCUCCUGAAAAUUGUUUAUGUCCUAAUUCCCAGGUCAAAUUGAUAGACACCUCUCAAACCACGUGAUAUGGUUUGGAUUUGUGUCCCUGACCUCUUAAGUCAAAUUGUAAUCCCCAAUGUUGGAGGAGGGACCUGGUGGGAGGUGAUUAUAUCAUGGGGGCGGAUUUCCCCCUUGCUAAUCUCAUGAUAGUGAUGAGCGAGUUCUCAUGAGAUCUUGUUGCUUAAAAGCGUGUAGCACCUCCCACUUCUAUCUCUUUCUCCUGCUCUACUUAUGUAAGAUGUGCCUGCUUUGCCUUUCGCCAUGAUUGUAAGUUUCCUGAGACCUCCCCAGCCAUUCUUCCUGUACAGCCUGCAUAACCAUGAGCCAAUUAAACCUCUUUUCUUUAUAAAUUACUGUUUCAGGUAUUUCUUUAUAGCAGUUUAAGAAUGAACUAAUACACCACCCAAUCAGCAAGGCUUUAAAUAAGAAUAAUGCUUCCACACCAGGACUUCCCUAUUCUCAAGAGGACUUUGAGGUUGACUCUGAGGCUUCUAAUUAGAUAACAGUGAUUCCUAGGGCAAGAAUCACUUGCAUGCUGAUAAAAGCCAGGGAGGCUCAGAGAAGCUAGAAACAACUGGAUCAUCAACACAAACUACUGCACUCCACUGGAAUUGAACAAAGACCUUUGCUGAAAUGCCCUAGCCAGCAAGAAAUGGUAACAUUCAGAUGAGAGAUGACCUUCAAGCAAGUACUGGUUAGAGUAUACAUGAGAAGCUAAAGGAAACCAGAAAAAUGAGAACCAUUUGAUUCUCUACAUACAAACUACCUAUGGAAGCCCAGAGAAAUGACUUCUGGCUUAGUAGUUUGCAGCCACUCUCACUCCUCCAAAAUUUGCAGUUUAAAUUUUCACCGUCUCCAACCUCAGGUCUAAGUUCCUCAAGUAGUAUAAAACAUGGAAACAGUAAUAGAUGGAGAAAGAAAGUAAAUUGAGAUUCUUACUCGAGGGAAUUUAUAAAAUUCAGUAUCUAUGAUUCAACUGUAGCAAAUGUAAUUUAACUUUUUUUUUAAGUUUAAUAACAGAGCAGCUUCUCUGUAAGCCACAAAGUUGGCAUCUGAAAAAGUUCUGAUAAACAGUUCAAGCUGUAUGGAAUGUCAUCUCUAGUACUUCUUAAUGCUCUUUAUUUGGUAUUUUGCAUGGUGUGAUGGAAUCAUUUCUUUUUCUUUUACCUGGCAAUGUAAUACUAUCUGUGAAUUCUCAUGGGUUCUAAGAAUAUGAAAAAUAACUUGCAAAAUGAUGUUUUCAGAUAUCUUUCUAGUCUAUGUUAAUAUAAAAUAUCUCACCUUCAUGUUUGAAGCUCUCCAAUCAAAAUGUGCAAAGAGAAGGAAGUGGUUUUAAAGUAUGGGACUUUCAAGGAAUGAUACAGGACUGUGUGGGGCAUGGCAUGUAGGCUUAGGAUAGUAUGAGGGAAGUAAGUGUUUAGAAGUUGGAAAGAAAAGCACCAUGAUGUAAGAGAUAAACCAACAAAAGGUAUGGCGGAUGCCAAGCAGAAACUGUCCAUCUCCAUAUUUAUUAAGGAUCAUCUUGUACCCAAUAAAGUGGGUUUUUUUAAACAGAUAUCUUUCAUUUAUACCAGGUUUCAACCUACUACCUAUUAUGGCUUCUAAUCUUGUCCAUUAAUUUGUGUGUUUUUGUCAAUUUAAUAAGUUUUAUUAGCUAGUUUAUAAAUAGGAUUUUGUGGAGCAGUUUGGAAAUUCAACCAUCACUGACUGUGUUGCUCCUAUAAACAAAUUACAGUUCAGAUUAAAAAAAAAACAUUUAGAACACACUCUAUUUAAAAGUCAAGAGGCUGGUGGGGAGAGGAAAUGGACAGUUAUUGUGUAAUGGAUAUAGAGUUUCAGUUUUGCAACAUGAAAAAGAGUUCUGGAGAUAAAUGGCAAUGAUGGCUGUACCACAUUAGGAAUAUACUUAAUGUCACUGAAUUGUAUAUUCAAAAUGGUUAAGAUGGUAAAUUUAAUGUUAUGUAUAUUUUACCAUAUUAAAA